RNAcentral lists this long non-coding RNA (1065 nucleotides) under Bos grunniens (domestic yak). RNAcentral's name for it is "lncRNA (ENSBGRG00000015593.1)". Lineage: Eukaryota; Metazoa; Chordata; Mammalia; Artiodactyla; Bovidae. The record is from RNAcentral.
ACUCGCUCUGAAGCGGAUGCCUGCGUUUGGUCCGAGACGCUUCUUUUCAUACCUCUUUCCUGCUUAAAACCAAUUUCUGAGCUCAGUGACCCCUUUGCCCUUCCUGCACCACGUGAAAUUCUUUUGGGCGAAGUGGGUUUAUUCGCUCCGCGGUCCCCAGGCUCGCCCUCUCGACCCCUGGAGGCCGCGCCGGCCCCCGCUCCCGGAGAGGCUCGGUCCUCUCCCUGGUCCUGGGAUUCUAGAGCGCCCGUCCCGCUCCUGAGACCCUCAGGCUCCCAGCCGUUCAGUCGUCGCGUCUCAUCAGGCCGCCUUCAACGGAGAAGAGCUGUAAAUCAGGUCCCAAAGAGGGCGACAGUGGAGAGGCAGUUCACACAGAGACCCCGCAAAGGGGAUACAAGAUUUGGAACCUUGACCUACAGACAAUAUCCUGCUGGCAGAGAAAGGGGACUACUAGUGAAUGGAAUCAGCGAUGCACUUUAUGUUCUUGGCUCCAAAAUCACUGCAGACGGUGACUGCAGCCAUGAAAUUAAAAGACACUUGCUCCUUGAAAGAAAAGCUGUGACCAACCUGCUGCUAAGUCGCUUCAGUCAUGUCCGACUCUGUGUGACCCCAUAGACGGCAGCCCACCAGGCUCCGCCGACCCUGGGAUUCUCCAGGCAAGAACACUGGAGUGGGUAGCCAUUUCCUUCUCCAAUGCAUGAAAGUGAAAAGUGAAAGGGAAGUCGCUCAGUCGUGUCUGACUCUUAGCGACCCCAUGGACUGCAGCCUACCAGGCUCCUCCAUCCAUGGGGUUUUCCAGGCAAGAGUUCUGGAGUGGGGUGUCAUUGCCUUAUGACCAACCUAGACAGCAUAUUAAAACAUGUAGACAUUAAUUUAUUUGCAGACGAAGUUUUAAAUAGUCAAAGCUAUAGUUUUUCCAGUAGUUAUGUAUGGAUGUGAGAGUUGGAUCAUAAGGAAAGCUGAGCACAAAAGAAUUGGUGCUUUUGAACUGUGGUGUUGGAGAAGACUCUUGAGAGUCCCUUGGACUGCACGGAGAUAAAACCACUCAAUCCUAAUGGCAAUCAG